Molecule: ribosomal RNA, 1416 nt
Filed under: uncultured prokaryote
Description: partial 16S ribosomal RNA
Rfam family: Bacterial small subunit ribosomal RNA
Source: RNAcentral
GCUAGCGGCAGGCUUAACACAUGCAAGUCGAGGGGUAUUAGGAGCUUGCUCCUAAGAGACCGGCGCACGGGUGCGUAACGCGUAUACAAUCUACCUUUUGCUGAGGGAUAGCCCAGAGAAAUUUGGAUUAAAACCUCAUGGUAUAUUAAUAAGGCAUCUUAUUAUUAUUAAAGCUUCGGCGGUAAAAGAUGAGUAUGCGUCCUAUUAGCUAGAUGGUAAGGUAACGGCUUACCAUGGCAACGAUAGAUGGGGGCCCUGAGAGGGGGAUCCCCCACACUGGUACUGAGACACGGACCAGACUCCUACGGGAGGCAGCAGUGAGGAAUAUUGGGCAAUGGAGGCAACUCUGAUCCAGCCAUGCCGCGUGCAGGAAGACUGCCCUAUGGGUUGUAAACUGCUUUUAUACAGAAAGAAACACUCCCUCGUGAGGGAGCUUGACGGUACUGUAAGAAUAAGGAUCGGCUAACUCCGUGCCAGCAGCCGCGGUAAUACGGAGGAUCCAAGCGUUAUCCGGAAUCAUUGGGUUUAAAGGGUCCGUAGGUGGAUAAUUAAGUCAGAGGUGAAAUUCUACAGUUCAAUUGUAGAAUUGCCUUUGAUACUGGUUAUCUUGAGUUAUUAUGAAGUAGUUAGAAUGUGUAGUGUAGCGGUGAAAUGCUUAGAGAUUACACAGAAUACCGAUUGCGAAGGCAGAUUACUAAUAAUAUACUGACACUGAUGGACGAAAGCGUGGGGAGCGAACAGGAUUAGAUACCCUGGUAGUCCACGCCGUAAACGAUGGAUACUAGCUGUUCGGAUUUAUCUGAGUGGCUAAGCGAAAGUGAUAAGUAUCCCACCUGGGGAGUACGUUCGCAAGAAUGAAACUCAAAGGAAUUGACGGGGGCCCGCACAAGCGGUGGAGCAUGUGGUUUAAUUCGAUCAUACGCGAGGAACCUUACCAGGGCUUAAAUGUAGAUUGACAGGUUUAGAGAUAGACUUUUCUUCGGACAAUUUACAAGGUGCUGCAUGGUUGUCGUCAGCUCGUGCCGUGAGGUGUCAGGUUAAGUCCUAUAACGAGCGCAACCCCUGUUGUUAGUUGCCAGCGAGUCAUGUCGGGAACUCUAACAAGACUGCCAGUGCAAACUGUGAGGAAGGUGGGGAUGACGUCAAAUCAUCACGGCCCUUACGUCCAGGACUACACACGAGCUACAAUUGUAGGUACAGAGAGCAGCCACUGGGUGACCAGGAGCGAAUCUAUAAAACCUAUCACAGUUCGGAUCGUAGUCUGCAACUCGACUCCGUGAAGCUGGAAUCGCUAGUAAUCGGAUAUCAGCCAUGAUCCGGUGAAUACGUUCCCGGGCCCUGUACACACCGCCCGUCAAGCCAUGGAAGCUGGAAGUGCCUGAAGUCCGUCACCGCAAGGAGCGGCCUAGGGUAAAG